RNAcentral lists this ribosomal RNA (550 nucleotides) under uncultured Funneliformis. Its description in RNAcentral is "SSU rRNA". It matches the Rfam family "Eukaryotic small subunit ribosomal RNA", at positions 548 to 1098 of the family's 1831-position model. Lineage: Eukaryota; Fungi; Glomeromycota; Glomeromycetes; Glomerales; Glomeraceae. The record is from RNAcentral.
UUGGAGGGCAAGUCUGGUGCCAGCAGCCGCGGUAAUUCCAGCUCCAAUAGCGUAUAUUAAAGUUGUUGCAGUUAAAAAGCUCGUAGUUGAAUUUCGGGAUCAAUGUUUCGGUCAUGCCGUUGGUAUGUACUGAUAUUAUUGAUUUCUCACCUUCUAAAGAACCGUAAUGCCAUUAAUUUGGUGUCACGGGGAAUUAGGACUGUUACCUUGAAAAAAUUAGAGUGUUUAAAGCAGGCUCACGCUUGAAUACAUUAGCAUGGAAUAAUGAAAUAGGACAUCCGAUUCUAUUUUGUUGGUUUCUAGGAUCGAUGUAAUGAUUAAUAGGGAUAGUUGGGGGCAUUAGUAUUCAAUUGUCAGAGGUGAAAUUCUUGGAUUUAUUGAAGACUAACUACUGCGAAAGCAUUUGCCAAGGAUGUUUUCAUUAAUCAAGAACGAAAGUUAGGGGAUCGAAGACGAUCAGAUACCGUCGUAGUCUUAACCAUAAACUACGCCGACUAGGGAUCGGAUGAUGUUAAUUUUUUAAUGACUCAUUCGGCGCCUUACGGGAAAC